This 94-nucleotide ribosomal RNA is filed under the name uncultured bacterium. Its description in RNAcentral is "partial 16S ribosomal RNA". It matches the Rfam family "Bacterial small subunit ribosomal RNA", at positions 397 to 508 of the family's 1533-position model. The record is from RNAcentral.
CCGCGUGUGUGAAGAAGGUCUUCGGAUUGUAAAGCACUUUCGACAGGGACGAUGAUGACGGUACCUGUAGAAGAAGCCCCGGCUAACUUCGUGC